CUUUUAUUUUCAGGAGCUCCAGCAGCGCCCGCAACAGAAGCAGCACCAGCGCCAGCACCAGCCGAAGCACCUGCGCCUGCGCCGGCACCGGCAGAAGCGCCCGCCGCGCCACCACCGGUUGAAGCGUCCGCCUAAGCAAUUCCAUCUUUGUCGUCAACAGUCUGAAUCGUCGGAAAUCAUCAUUGUGGCUAAAUGAUGGAGCCAAAAAGCAAAGUUAACCAUUAG
Amyelois transitella is the source of this 225-nucleotide long non-coding RNA. RefSeq lists it as uncharacterized. The record is from RefSeq and is a predicted model, not a curated record. The transcript has 3 exons. Lineage: Eukaryota; Metazoa; Arthropoda; Insecta; Lepidoptera; Pyralidae.